AUAUGCUCUGGCUACCGUAUUUCCAGAGUACUAAAGAAGAGGCGCCGAGUACCAAUUUUGGUCGAUAUUUCCAACGUUGAGCAAUAAUUGUCAUCAUUGCCUCAUAUAAACCGGUCACCAAAUGCGUUCGGCGUUAUAAGUACUGUAUUAACUCAAAUAUUGAUACGUUCUCAAUGCUAAGGAAACUGCUUCAUCCAACGAACGAGUGUGACCCCCUGAAAACCACGUUGAUUCUGCACCCUGAUACCCCCCCCCCCCCCAGAAUAAUGCAGCUACUAUAUGUCGUUUCAGCUAACUUAUGUCGCCUCGAUUUAACUUGCUUCUGGAUCGGUAACACGACAACUGGCUGGUUUUAAACUCGAACCUUCGACCUCACGCUCAGUAGGCGAAUUAACGCCCCUUCUAUGCUACAUAGAAAAUGUUCUAUGAACAUAAAGU
This is a long non-coding RNA of Dreissena polymorpha, 438 nucleotides long. RefSeq lists it as uncharacterized. NCBI's taxonomy places the organism in Eukaryota, Metazoa, Mollusca, Bivalvia, Myida, Dreissenidae. The record is from RefSeq and is a predicted model, not a curated record. The transcript has 3 exons.